Thunnus maccoyii (southern bluefin tuna) is the source of this 310-nucleotide long non-coding RNA. RefSeq lists it as uncharacterized. NCBI's taxonomy places the organism in Eukaryota, Metazoa, Chordata, Actinopteri, Scombriformes, Scombridae. The transcript has 2 exons. The record is from RefSeq and is a predicted model, not a curated record.
CCAAAUGGAUGCAGACUUGACUUGGAGCCAAUCUCAUUAGACUGUUUUCCACCUCCAGCACUCGUCCAGCUCAUCGAAUCAUGAUCAGUUACUGAAAACUAAUCUUGUUUUCUCUUCAGACUCUCGGGAUACUGGGAUUAAUGGGAAUUGCCAUUUUCAUCUCUGUGGAAACGAUGCUGAUGAUGGUAACCACGACUACAGCUACAUCCAGCAGAUUCUAACUAAACACACAUCUUUGUCAUGUAACAUUUAAGGCACUCACAAUUUGCAACAUGCAAAUGCAAAUUAGGAAAUUAAAUUCUCUCUCAUU